GUGAUUUUUAAAAUGUAUUUACAUAAAUAAAUAUUGGGAUACAACAGGCUUUACAGAUAUCUGUUAGGAAAUGUAAACACUGACAACAAGAACGUAAACAAAAAGAAAAACAAAUCUUUAUUUAAGAAGCAAGGUGUUCAUAGUAACUCUCCGCCAUGAAUGUAAAAUAGUUUUAAGAUCGUCAUUAUUUGAGACAACUAUUGAUUACGUAAAAGUCGCACUCCAACACUCCUACAGUUUUACAUUAAAAAACAACACUCAUUUGCUUUCUGGAACCUGUAGAGUUUCUUGUUGCCAUCAGCUGAAACUGCCAUCAUGUAUUGGGUACAUAUCAACCACAUCACAGCAACAUAUCAACCACAUUACAGCAACAUUACAGCAACAUAUCAACCAUAUUACAGCAACAUAUCAACAACAUUACAGCAACACAUCAACCACAUUACAGCAACAUUACAGCAACAUAUCAACCAUAUUACAGCAACAUAUCAACCACAUUACAGCAACAUAUCAACCACAUUACAGCAACAUAUCAACCACAUUACAGCAACAUAUCAACCACAUUACAGCAACAUUACAGCAACAUAUCAACCACAUUACAGCAACAUUACAGCAACAUAUCAACCACAUUACAGCAACAUUACAGCAACAUUACAGCAACAUAUCAACCACAUUACAGCAACAUUACAGCAACAUAUCAACCACAUUACAGCAACAUUACAGCAACAUAUCAACCACAUUACAGCAACAUUACAGCAACAUAUCAACCACAUUACAGCAACAUUACAGCAACAUAUCAACCACAUUACAGCAACAUUACAGCAACAUUACAGCAACAUAUCAACCACAUUACAGCAACAUUACAGCAACAUAUCAACCACAUUACAGCAACAUUACAGCAACAUAUCAACCACAUUACAGCAACAUAUCAACCACAUUACAGCAACAUUACAGCAACAUAUCCAACGUCGGACAUAAUGUAUUGGUUACAGGCCGGACAGACGUUGCAAAGAUUAUCCUCCUCAAACUUGCGAUAGAUGUACUCGAGGAAGCUUAUUUAUGUUGCUGUAAAGUGGUUGUUAUGUUGCUGUAAAGUGGUUGAUAUGUUGCUGUAAUGUUGCUGUAAAGUGGUUGUUCUGUUGCUGUAAAGUGGCUAUAAUGUUGCUGUAAAGUGGUUGAUAUGUUGCUGUAAUGUUGCUGUAAUGUUGCUGUAAUGUGGUUGAUAUGUUGCUGUAAUGUUGCCGUAAAGUGGUUGAUAUGUUGCUGUAAUGUUGCUGCAAUGUUGCUGUAAAGUGGCUGUUAUGUUGCUGCAAAGUGGCUGUUAUGUUGUUGUAAUGUGGUUGUUAUGUUGCUGUAAUGUUGCUGUAAAGUGGCUGUUAUGUUGCUGUUAUGUUGCUGUAAUGUUGCUGUAAAGUUGCUGUAAUGUUGCUGUAAAGUGGCUGUUAUGUUGCUGUUAUGUUGCUGUAAUGUUGCUGUAAAAUGGCUGUUAUGUUGCUGUAAUGUUGCUGUAAAAUGGCUGUUAUGUUGCUGUAAUGUUGCUGUAAAAUGGCUGUUAUGUUGCUGUAAUGUUGCUGUAAAGUGGCUGUUAUGUUGCUGUUAUGUUGCUGUAAUGUUGCUGCAAAAUGGCUGUUAUGUUGCUGUAAUGUUGCUGUAAAAUGGAUGUUAUGUUGCUGUAAUGUUGCUGUAAAGUGGCUGUUAUGUUGCUGUUAUGUUGCUGUAAUGUUGCUGUAAAAUGGCUGUUAUGUUGCUGUAAUGUUGCUGUAAAAUGGCUGUUAUGUUGCUGUAAUGUUGCUGUAAAAUGGCUGUUAUGUUGCUGUAAUGUUGCUGUAAAGUGGAUGUUAUGUUGCUGUUAUGUUGCUGUAAUGUUGCUGCAAAAUGGCUGUUAUGUUGCUGUAAUGUUGCUGUAAAAUGGCUGUUAUGUUGCUGUAAUGUUGCUGUAAAGUGGCUGUUAUGUUGCUGUUAUGUUGCUGUAAUGUUGCUGUAAAAUGGCUGUUAUGUUGCUGUAAUGUUGCUGUAAAAUGGCUGUUAUGUUGCUGUAAUGUGGUUGAUAAGCUGUACGUAAUAGAAAAUGAUUCCUUAUUACCAUUUAUGCAAACGAAAAUGAUGUCUCUGAUGACGGCUCUGCCAGCAGUCACUGCAACGUUAACAGGGUCACAGGAGCAGACCUUUUAGGGAAGUUCUGUAGCCAAGAGGCACACUGUGGGGAGAGAAACACGGGGGGGGGGAUCAUGUACAUUUACAAAAAUACACUUACAUCAAUUCAAGGCAUACACAUGGCAAUGAGGAACCUAGCCUGGUCACAGAUGGUGUAGGAGAACAAAUUGUGUUGGGGCAAUGAUCUUCCCUAUCGUGCGGAGAAUAAUCCCUAUGCGGAGAGAUAUCACACUGCGUAGAACCACUCAAAUGCCAAUGUGAUCUCUACAGCGGCUUCUCUACAUGCCACGUCAUGGACAUUCUCAGCACCCAGCAGACUGUCGGGACGAUGUAGCCUUGUUUUGACAUAAACUCCGGACCAUAUUGAUGAUUGGGCAGUGAGAUCCAAACCUUGAGGGCGCUGUUGUCUCUCCAUCUCCUUGAAGAAUCUCCACCAGUCUCUUUUUUCUUACCUUUAUUUAACCAGGCAAGUCAGUUAAGAACAAAUUCAUAUUUACAAUGACGGCCUACAACCGGCCAAACCCGGGACCAAUUGUGCGCCGCCCUAUGGGACUCCCAAUACACAGCCGGUUGUGAUACAGCCUGGAUUUGAACCAGAGGUGUCUGUAGUGACAACCUCAAACAGUGAGAUGCAGUGCCUUAGACCGCUACGUUACUCGGGAGCCCCAUUGCAGGGAUAUAUAAUACAAAUCAUCACAUAACUCAACUAAAUGGUUUAUUUAUGAUUUGCUUCGUUGAAUCUACUACUGACAAUGUGUCACCGAUGUGAAACGGCUAGCUAGUCAGCGGUGGUGCGCGCUAAUAGCGUUUCAGUCGGUGACGCCACUCGCUCUGAGACCUUGAAGUAGUUGUUCCCCUUAACUAAGCUUUUGUGGAAUGAUGGGUAACGAUGCUUCAAGAGUGGCUGUUGUCUAUGUGUGGAGAGGGUCCCUGGUUCGAGCCCAGGUAGGGGUGAGGAGAGGGUCCCUGGUUCGAGCCCAGGUAGGGGUGAGGAGAGGGUCUCUGGUUCGAGCCCAGGUAGGGGUGAGGAGAGGGU
Molecule: long non-coding RNA, 3187 nt
Filed under: Oncorhynchus mykiss (rainbow trout)
Lineage: Eukaryota; Metazoa; Chordata; Actinopteri; Salmoniformes; Salmonidae
Description: lncRNA (ENSOMYG00000057566.1)
Source: RNAcentral